RNAcentral lists this small RNA (28 nucleotides) under Bombyx mori (domestic silkworm). Its description in RNAcentral is "ovarian small RNA-23314". Lineage: Eukaryota; Metazoa; Arthropoda; Insecta; Lepidoptera; Bombycidae. The record is from RNAcentral.
UAUACCAUGAUGUUCAGGACACAUAGCC